RNAcentral lists this ribosomal RNA (297 nucleotides) under Triticum aestivum (bread wheat). RNAcentral describes it as "partial small subunit ribosomal RNA". It matches the Rfam family "Eukaryotic large subunit ribosomal RNA", at positions 1890 to 2184 of the family's 3401-position model. The record is from RNAcentral. Lineage: Eukaryota; Viridiplantae; Streptophyta; Magnoliopsida; Poales; Poaceae.
AUUGAACAAUGUAGGCAAGGGAAGUCGGCAAAACGGAUCCGUAACUUCGGGAAAAGGAUUGGCUCUGAGGACUGGGCUCGGGGGUCCCGGCCCCGAACCCGUCGGCUGUCGGCGGAUUGCUCGAGCUGCUCACGCGGCGAGAGCGGGUCGCCGCGUGCCGGCCGGGGGACGGACCGGGAAUCGCCCCUUCGGGGGCUUUCCCCGAGCAUGAAACAGUCGACUCAGAACUGGUACGGACAAGGGGAAUCCGACUGUUUAAUUAAAACAAAGCAUUGCGAUGGUCCUCGCGGAUGCUGA